Molecule: ribosomal RNA, 394 nt
Filed under: uncultured bacterium
Lineage: Bacteria
Description: bacterial SSU rRNA
Rfam family: Bacterial small subunit ribosomal RNA
Source: RNAcentral
UAUCGGAACGUGCCAGUCGUGGGGGAUAACGGUAGAGAAUUUACGCUAAUACCGCAUACGAUCUAAGGAUGAAAGCGGGGGACCGUAAGGCCUCGCGCGAUUGGAGCGGCUGAUAUCAGAUUAGGUUGUUGGUGAGGUAAAAGCUCACCAAGCCGACGAUCUGUAGCUGGUUUGAGAGAACGACCAGCCACACUGGGACUGAGACACGGCCCAGACUCCUACGGGAGGCAGCAGUGGGGAAUUUUGGACAAUGGGCGAAAGCCUGAUCCAGCAAUGCCGCGUGCAGGAAGAAGGCCUUCGGGUUGUAAACUGCUUUUGUACGGAACGAAAAGGCUCUUUCUAAUAAAGAGGGCCCAUGACGGUACCGUAAGAAUAAGCACCGGCUAACUACGUG